CAAGUAAUUCCAAACAGAGGGAGUAGAUAUUUAGUCCCUUUCGCUUCUAGAAACAUUUAAUAACAAAGACUUUCUUUUGCGGAAUAAAAGUAAACCAUAGCCAAAGAUGAUAAUUGACUCGAUCAUCAAUACAAUAAUCCAAUGAAGUAGAUAGACCUCACCAAGAAGAAUUUUGAUUAUUUAUUUCUUGGUUGUCCUCUCCACUUCGAGAUAAACAUAGAUAAGACAUAAAAAAUCUGAACUCAAUAAAUGUCUAAAUCCAGAGGCAAAAAAAUCAUUUGGAACGGCUCGAUUUGAAGCGAUCCCCAACAUGUAUCCCACUGAAGUGAGGGAGACGAUUCUGCUAGACCCGCUUUUUCAACCAAAAUCGCCAGACAUUCCUACGUUAUGUCUCAUCUCCUCUCUUGGUGUGUUUCUACCAUCUCUUGUAGAGAUAAGAUCCCGUCCCCUGUGGAUAUGCAUCUCGGACACUUGCGAGUCCACUCCCGGAAUUUCUUUGGCAGCGUACACUGUACAGCGCCUAGAGCUUUGAUAUUUUAGCAUGGAAUAAGAAACAAGAGAUAUUCGUUGCCAUGGAUUGGACGGUGAAAGGGAUGGGCGAUGGCUACCAUCGGCAUCAUCACCGGCCACCUGUUUCUUCUCUGUUGCUUUACUUGCACGGUUGCAACACCAAUUCCUUCAGCUUUCACUUUCGGCCCUUAUGACGCUCUCCUACUCCAAGCAAGAGGUCGGUCCAGAUUCGUGCCCGUUAAAGCAGACAGGAAGGAAGAAGGCUCCGCCUCAUCAAGGUAAGCUCUACUCUCUUUAACUCUUCAUCCUCUUUUCCCCGUCUGGAUUUCUGCUUCUUCAACUCUUCAUCCUCUACUCUCCAUAGGUCUUUAUUCAGUGAGGGAGUGCCUCUGAGUUGGACGCCAUGGUGCCGUGGAGGCUGGAGGCGCGACUGGCAGAGACGGUGAGGGCAGCGCUCCUCGGCUGGCUCUUCUUCUGCAUCACCGUCGCCAGCGAUGUCGCAUAUGCGCUCAGAAGCAGCGAUCUCUCCAUCUAAGGCCGGCCACGUUCAACAUCGCCGGCUGCCUUUUCAACUCUGCGCCUACAAAGUGGCAGUUCAUUGGACACGCAGGAAGAAAAUUGAUUUACAGCAGUGUAACCAGACAGUGAGUUCAUCCAUGAGAGAAUGAGUUCAACGUAAAGGUGAAAUAUUCAUAUAGAUUAGAUGUAAAAUCUUGUAUCAAACAGAGAAAUACUGGCUAUUGCUCAAAGUGGCCUGACUUUCAAACAAAGGUAGCAUAGAUAGCGCUGGUGCAACUUAGUAAUUAACAAUAUAGCUGGUGCAUCGGAAGAACUACAGACAAAAUUCCGAUAAAUAGCUUUCGCGAGGUGGCGCUGUAUGUACGGAUUCUACUGGUCAUCAGGCAGGAGGUUCCGACUUAUCUGCACUCGAGUGCUAUCACCGCCUUGAUGAUUUCUUGAAAGACCUCGAUUUCUGUCGGUGACCUCUUGGGGCCUCCUCUUCUUCAUCAUCGUCGUCCUCCGCCGCCUUCCUUCUCUUCUUGUGACCACCGUCCUCCCUCAGUUUCUGCCGAAU
RNAcentral lists this long non-coding RNA (1585 nucleotides) under Triticum aestivum (bread wheat). RNAcentral's name for it is "long non-coding RNA (TAES_LNC020217)". Lineage: Eukaryota; Viridiplantae; Streptophyta; Magnoliopsida; Poales; Poaceae. The record is from RNAcentral.